RNAcentral lists this ribosomal RNA (251 nucleotides) under uncultured bacterium. RNAcentral describes it as "partial 16S ribosomal RNA". It matches the Rfam family "Bacterial small subunit ribosomal RNA", at positions 77 to 339 of the family's 1533-position model. The record is from RNAcentral.
AGCUUGCUAGGUACGACGAGUGGCAGACGGGUGAGUAAUGUAUAGGAAUCUGCCCAGUAGUAAGGAAUAACUUAUGGAAACAUAAGCUAAUACUGUAUACUACCGAUUUAUCGGGAAAGACUUCGGUCGCUAUUGGAUGAGCCUAUAUCAGAUUAGCUUGUUGGUGGGGUAAAGGCCUACCAAGGCUGUGAUCUGUAGCUGGUUUGAGAGAAUGAUCAGCCACACUGGGACUGCGACACGGCCCAGACUCC